UACGGGGGGAGCAAGCGUUGUUCGGAUUUACUGGGCGUAAAGGGCGCGUAGGCGGCCAGCACAAGUCGGUUGUGAAAUCUCCGAGCUUAACUCGGAAAGGUCAACUGAUACUGGUUGGCUUGAAUCCGGGAGAGGGAUGUGGAAUUCCAGGUGUAGCGGUGAAAUGCGUAGAUAUCUGGAGGAACACCGGUGGCGAAGGCGACAUCCUGGACCGGUAUUGACGCUGAGGCGCGAAAGCCAGGGGAGCAAACGGG
This 254-nucleotide ribosomal RNA is filed under the name uncultured bacterium. RNAcentral describes it as "partial 16S ribosomal RNA". It matches the Rfam family "Bacterial small subunit ribosomal RNA", at positions 524 to 776 of the family's 1533-position model. The record is from RNAcentral.